AGUGAACGCUGGCGGUAGGCCUAACACAUGCAAGUCGAACGGCAGCACAGUAAGAGCUUGCUCUUACGGGUGGCGAGUGGCGGACGGGUGAGGAAUACAUCGGAAUCUACUUUUUCGUGGGGGAUAACGUAGGGAAACUUACGCUAAUACCGCAUACGACCUACGGGUGAAAGCAGGGGAUCUUCGGACCUUGCGCGAUUGAAUGAGCCGAUGUCGGAUUAGCUAGUUGGCGGGGUAAAGGCCCACCAAGGCGACGAUCCGUAGCUGGUCUGAGAGGAUGAUCAGCCACAAUGGAACUGAGAAACGGUCCAGACUCCUAAGGGAGGCAGCAGUGGGGAAUAUUGGACAAUGAGCGCAAGCCUGAUCCAGCCAUACCGCGUGGGUGAAGAAGGCCUUCGGGUUGUAAAGCCCUUUUGUUGGGAAAGAAAAGCAGCAGGUUAAUACCCCGCUGUUCUGACGGUACCCAAAGAAUAAGCACCGGCUAACUUCGUG
Molecule: ribosomal RNA, 492 nt
Filed under: uncultured bacterium
Lineage: Bacteria
Description: partial 16S ribosomal RNA
Rfam family: Bacterial small subunit ribosomal RNA
Source: RNAcentral